Molecule: ribosomal RNA, 604 nt
Filed under: uncultured bacterium
Lineage: Bacteria
Description: bacterial SSU rRNA
Rfam family: Bacterial small subunit ribosomal RNA
Source: RNAcentral
AGAGUUUGAUCCUGGCUCAGGAUGAACGCUGACAGAAUGCUUAACACAUGCAAGUCUACUUGAAACACUUUCGGGUGUGGAUGGUGGCGGACGGGUGAGUAACGCGUAAAUAACUUGCCCCCUAGUCUGGGACAACUGUUGGAAACGACAGCUAAUACUAGAUAUUAUGAGACCUUGGCAUCAAGGACUUAUGAAAGCUAUAUGCGCUAGGGGAGAGAUUUGCGUCCUAUUAGCUAGUUGGUGAGGUAAUGGCUCACCAAGGCGACGAUAGGUAGCCGGCCUGAGAGGGUGAACGGCCACAAGGGGACUGAGACACGGCCCUUACUCCUACGGGAGGCAGCAGUGGGGAAUAUUGGACAAUGGACCAAAAGUCUGAUCCAGCAAUUCUGUGUGCUUGAUGAAGGCCUUCGGGUUGUAAAGAGCUUUAAGUAGGGAAGAAGAAAGUGACGGUACCUACAGAAUAAGCGACGGCUAAAUACGUGCCAGCAGCCGCGGUAAUACGUAUGUCGCAAGCGUUAUCCGGAAUUAUUGGGCAUAAAGGGCGUCUAGGCGGUUUAGAAAGUCUGAUGUGAAAAUGCGGGGCUCAACCCCGUAUUGCGUUGGA